RNAcentral lists this long non-coding RNA (1440 nucleotides) under Anas zonorhyncha (Eastern spot-billed duck). RNAcentral's name for it is "lncRNA (ENSAZOG00000015597.1)". Lineage: Eukaryota; Metazoa; Chordata; Aves; Anseriformes; Anatidae. The record is from RNAcentral.
CUGGACACUGCAGCUGGCAGUACUGCUGAGAAGAUGAACAGAAAGCAAUGAAACUGGGAGCUGGGAACCAAAGCACAUGCUACUAGCAAAUGACACAUGCCUAUACCACAAGUGAUCAACCCAUGGAUAGACUUGGUCCAUAAAGCCUGCUUGGGACUUUGCUGGCUUAACUUUCAAAAAGUCCCAGGGAGAGACAAGACUGUUAAAAUAUGGGUUUUGUAAUCAUGAUUUUCAUUUAGAAGCUGAAGGCAUAUCUCCCCUACUUUAUUUUUCUGCAGUAUCAGAUAUUCCUGAACACCCUACAAAGAGGCCAGGCCUACAGUGCUGAGAUAUUAACAGCAGUGUUCUUCAGCCAGCCUCUGAAUCUAUUAAUAGCUCCUUGCAGGAGGAACAAACCCUGUCUCUCUCCCUCUGCGUCUUCUACUGACAUGGAAGCUAUAACGACAGAGAACCACAGGAGAGAAUCAGAGAAGGAGGAGUCUGGUGAAUGUAUUCAGAGUUGCUGGUCUGGGGUCCUUGGCUAUCUCAUAUCACCAAUGAAAAAGCCUGCAUGAACUGUGAAGUUAUGGCAUGUGAAGAGUAAACAUUAAAACCUUGAAGAUAUCUGCAUCUCUCUAUGAAAAAAAAAAAAAAAAACUUUUUCAAUAUUUCAGCAGCAUCUACACUAAUCAGUUAUUUCUCUACUCUAUACCUUAAAACUGCAGCCAUAUAACUUCACUGUAGCCCUAAAACCAUUUUCUAUUUCACUGAGUAUUGGACUUCGGUUGUUUUGUUGUAACUUCUGUUAUUUUAUAGUACUGUCAGUCUUCCUGUCUAGUGGCACACACACGUUUUGCUCUUGCUUUGGAGUUACCAGACCAUCAGAAUGGAUUAUGCACUUUUCUGGGAGCAUAAUUUGACCACUUAUUACUGGUAAUGAAACAGAAAUAAAGAGCAAUAUUUGGCUUCCAGGGAAAAAAUAAAAAUAAAAAUAAAAAAACAUUGCUAGCAGUUACAGGAAAAACAGCGUUCUUUUUCCAUUUAUACACUGAAGAUGCUUGCCUUUAGUUCCUGGCAUACAAUUUCAAUAGACCCCUGGAACACAUUUGAGAUGGAAAUUAGCCCUUAAUGCAGAUCAACCAUGGGGAGCAGGGAACACUUUGGUUUCAGUAUUUCAAAGAUAUGUUUCCUAAGUUUCAGUAAAUGUCCUUGCUCCCUUUCCAGACUAACCCUCAGGGUUCUCACAUUAACGUGUUUAGCCUCCCCUCAGACAGCGACUGGAUAAAACAAAUCUUUUUUCUUUGUUCUUGGUGAAUAUUUGAUUCAACAGGCUUCUUGGACAAUUUCCUUUGCCAUGCACUUCAGGCAAAACCCUGUGGAGCUCAGGGUGCAAGGAUUCGUUCAAUUGUCUAUUAUCUAGAACAAGAAAAUCUCGACCUAUUUAAACACAAAGGCCUGAAG